AGGGAUAUCGCCAAUCCGGUAAGGCAGACGGCUGUUAACCGUCCAUAUGCAGGUUCGAGUCCUGCUAUCCCUGCCA
This 76-nucleotide transfer RNA is filed under the name Cohnella suwonensis. Its description in RNAcentral is "tRNA-Asn". It matches the Rfam family "tRNA". From Rfam's summary of the family: Transfer RNA (tRNA) molecules are approximately 80 nucleotides in length. The record is from RNAcentral. Lineage: Bacteria; Bacillati; Bacillota; Bacilli; Caryophanales; Paenibacillaceae.